RNAcentral lists this ribosomal RNA (262 nucleotides) under uncultured bacterium. Its description in RNAcentral is "partial 16S ribosomal RNA". It matches the Rfam family "Bacterial small subunit ribosomal RNA", at positions 793 to 1055 of the family's 1533-position model. The record is from RNAcentral.
GUCCACGCCGUAAACGUUGGGAACUAGGUGUGGGCCUCAUUCCACGAGGUCUGUGCCGCAGCUAACGCAUUAAGUUCCCCGCCUGGGGAGUACGGCCGCAAGGCUAAAACUCAAAGGAAUUGACGGGGGCCCGCACAAGCUGCGGAGCAUGUGGAUUAAUUCGAUGCAACGCGAAGAACCUUACCAAGGCUUGACAUAUACCGGAAACAUCCAGAGAUGGGUGCCCCGCAAGGUCGGUAUACAGGUGGUGCAUGGUUGUCGU